Molecule: long non-coding RNA, 2028 nt
Organism: Oxyura jamaicensis (ruddy duck)
Lineage: Eukaryota; Metazoa; Chordata; Aves; Anseriformes; Anatidae
Exons: 2
Source: RefSeq, a predicted model, not a curated record
GGAACAGAGCUGAACUCUAGAGAAAUCCAUCUCUGUUUCAGGGGUCUGAGUCCUUUCAAAAAGGCUGCACCAUUUCAGGCACAGCCCCCGCCCCCCUGCAGAUGGGAAUUCAUUUGCUAAAAGGAGAGUUGGCAGCAGAGACCAUCCUGAGCUCUAUGGGCUGUGUCUCUUCAGGAGACAGGAUUAUUGCAAACACUCCCUUUGUGCUAAGAUAUUUAAACAGUCUUCCCGGCAAUGUUAAAAAUGUAAGGUGUACAUGAUUAUGAAAUAUAACUAUACAAUGACUUUCACAUUUAGAAAGCAACAGGACGCUUUCCAGCUGCAGCCACCACGCUGGCAGAGUAUGACAUCACUCAGCAUUUAUUUCUGGAGACAGAAUUUUGCUCCUUCCUUGCUCCCUCUACAAAGCUUUCCCCUCCACACUUGACAAGCUCUGCUGCUUAAGUACCACCAUUACCUGUUAGUUACUCAAACUCACUGAGAAGUCCAAACCGUGAAUCCAGGCCAGUACUCUGGAGAAAAUCUUCCUUUUGCCUUCAUGGGGAUGAGAUACAUCCACAGGUAUCCCAUGCACCUGUAGUACUGUUUGGCUCUACCUUUGUGUAGGGUGGGCUGUCAUAUCAGUCCAGGCUUCCUGGCUAGACCCAGAUGAUAUCUAAAAACAGACGAAAGGUGUCAUUUAGACCAAAAUCUCCAGGACAGUUUUGCUGAAGAUAGGAGACAAAUUCUCAACAUGAAUGCAUCAGACACCUGCCAACUUUCUGAGUGAGCGGGUCAUAAAGCAAGCACAACUUAGAGAAGUGGAGGUGUAUAUGACAUCUGAAUGAGAGGUGAAAGAUAAAAACAACUUUUUACGUGUGUGGCUGGGAAACAGCUGAAUAAAACAAAGUCAGCAUGAAGGCCAGCAUGGUUUGCUGCCCAACAAAAUGCAAAGCCACGUUGGGUGGAGUGAAGCAAAUAGUCUCUCUGAUUUUCAGAGCUGGAAGAGAAGCCAACAGAAGGAAAGGAAGGUGAGCUGGGAGCAGCAGCUGCUGGAUUCUGUCAAGCUCUUCCAGAUGAGGAAGGCUGUGAGAAGAUGUGAGACCAUAAUAAGAGUGCACUGUGAUGUGUUUUCUUUUGGUUAAAAUGUAGAGGAACAGCAAUGUAAUUCUGUGGAUAAAAAAUUCAACCAGAGCAACACAGUCUGGCCCUGCUGCAUCCUUUUCUUUGCUGUCAUGGGUAACAAAUGCUCUGUUCAAAGUGACCAGAAGACAUCCAUCCACUUAUGCCCCCAUCUACCAACAUCCAACACUUAAGAAAACAAGGAAACUGGGAGCCUAGAAUGAAAUCUUCCUCAUCAGUUGGAAGUCUCAGGCAAUUUAUCCUCUCAGGAGCCAAAGAGCAAUCUCUCUGCUGCUCAGCCUGCUAGUUGGCUGUGGUUGCAUUUCUCAUAGAUCCCUCUUUAUUCUUGCUUUCUACUGCUGAAGUCUUGUUGCCUCUCAUGAUUGAGUUACCUGUCUGUUAUUUUGGACUCAGUUGUAGUGUAUUCUCCAUGAUUUUUUUUUUUUCAUCUAGACCUGCCUGUGUGUGUGUGUUUGCCUCGUUCCUUGCCUGAUGGACUUCGAAUGUCCCUGAGCAUCGGACUAUCUUCGGGCCAUCCUUGUUGCUCAGACUCCCAGCCUCAGCUCCACCUUGGUCAAGGUACUGCGCUCCCCCCUGGGUUAGAAAGUUCUCACUUAGCUGUAGUCCCUGGCCUUUUUUCACUGUGACUCCCUGACAAUGAUCCUUAGUGCAAAACACCAAAAUAGGUCAACACAGAACAAGAGAGAAAUGAGGGGCACCUACAGUAAUUAGGAAUUAGAUGAAAGGCCCCUGUGAUCCAAGGAGACACAUUCCCAUCUUCCUUCGAACUGUCACUUCUGGCAAACAGUUUGUGCAAGUACGUGCUACCAGCCAAAAACCUGAGCAUUUUUCCGUGUCAUCCUGUGCUUGUCAAUGCAAUACGUGUGCUUUGAAUGUUAUGAUUAUUUAUUAUUAAACUAAGAAAAA